UUACAUUCAGAGGUCAGGAUGGAACACAGACAGCUCACCAUGGAGUUUGGCCUCAUCUGGGUUUUCCUUGUUGCUGUCUUAAAAGGUGUCCAGUGUGAGGUGCAGCUGGUGGAGUCUGGGGGAGGCUUGGUCCAGCCGGGUGGGUCAAUGAGACUUUCCUGUUCAGCCUCUGGAUUCACUUUCAGUCAAUACGGAAUGCACUGGAUCCGCCAGGUCCCAGAAAAUGGAUUGGAGUGGGUGGCAGUUAUAUGGUAUGAUGGAAGUCAGAAAUAUUAUGCAGACUCCGUGAAGGGGAGAUUCACCAUCUCCAGAGACAACAACAAGAAUAUGCUGUAUCUGCAAAUGGACAGUCUAAGAACUGAGGACACGGCCCGGUAUUACUGUGCAAGUUACACAGUGAGGAAAAAUUUGUGUCAGCCCAGACAAAAACCUCCCUGCAGAUAUCUGGCCUCAGUCACGGGCUCCAGUCAUAGUGCUCGUUCCAGUGUCAUGAGCAGCAGUCACAAGAAGCAACGCAGUGUUCCCACACUUUCCAGGUAG
This is a non-coding RNA of Carlito syrichta (Philippine tarsier), 540 nucleotides long. The record is from the annotation of a RefSeq genome assembly. Lineage: Eukaryota; Metazoa; Chordata; Mammalia; Primates; Tarsiidae.